Molecule: ribosomal RNA, 807 nt
Filed under: Triticum aestivum (bread wheat)
Lineage: Eukaryota; Viridiplantae; Streptophyta; Magnoliopsida; Poales; Poaceae
Description: partial small subunit ribosomal RNA
Source: RNAcentral
AUGUCUGGCCGCGUCGGCGAAAGCAGCAGCCGCCGCCGCCGCACCGCGGCGAAGCCCCCGCGCUACGACCGCAGCAUCACCGUCUUCUCCCCCGAGGGCCGCGUCUUCCAAGUCGACUACGCCCGCAACUCCGUGAAGCUGGAGGGGAUCACCUCCGUCGCCGUGCGCGGCGCCGACUCCGUCUGCGUCAUCACCCAGCGGACCAAGGCACCGGCGGACCCGUUGCUGGACACAGCGGACCCCGCCUUCAUGCACCUGUUCCAGAUCACCGAGCGGCUUGGUAUGCUGGCCACGGGGAUGCCAGCUGACGGGAGAGCAUUAGCUCAGCAGGCAAGGAACGAAGCUGCAGGGUUCCGUCACAAGUGGGGAUAUGAAAUGCCUCCUAAGAUGUUGGCGCAAUGGUUGGGAGACAGAGCACAAGUUCGCACCCAGCAUGCUGGCAUGAGACCUUACAGAGUUGUUGCUACGGUCGUGGGAAUUGAUGAAGAGAAAGGAACUCCAGAGCUCUUUACAUGUGAUCCUGCUGGACAAGUCCUUGGCCACAAGGCAACCAGCGUAGGUCUCAAGGACCAGGAAGCUAUCGAGUUUCUCGAGGAAGCAAUGGCGGGCAAUUCUUCUUUAUCAUUCCAGGAAACCAUGGAGAUGGCAGUGUCUGCACUGCGACACGUCCUGGAGGAUAAUAGCCAAGGCCAUGACAUCGAGGUGGGAGUUGUCAGGAAGAAUUAUCCGAUCUUCAGAACGGUGUUGAGGCGCAUCUACAAAAAUCCGCUUGCAGGGCAGAGCAUCCUGGAUGGAGAAGGCCAGUAA